Molecule: ribosomal RNA, 1425 nt
Filed under: metagenome
Description: bacterial SSU rRNA
Rfam family: Bacterial small subunit ribosomal RNA
Source: RNAcentral
GGCGGACGGGUGAGUAAUGUCUGGGAAACUGCCUGAUGGAGGGGGAUAACUACUGGAAACGGUAGCUAAUACCGCAUAACGUCGCAAGACCAAAGAGGGGGACCCUCGGGCCUCUUGCCAUCGGAUGUGCCCAGAUGGGAUUAGCUUGUUGGUGGGGUAACGGCUCACCAAGGCGACGAUCCCUAGCUGGUCUGAGAGGAUGACCAGCCACACUGGAACUGAGACACGGUCCAGACUCCUACGGGAGGCAGCAGUGGGGAAUAUUGCACAAUGGGCGCAAGCCUGAUGCAGCCAUGCCGCGUGUAUGAAGAAGGCCUUCGGGUUGUAAAGUACUUUCAGCGGGGAGGAAGGGAGUAAAGUUAAUACCUUUGCUCAUUGACGUUACCCGCAGAAGAAGCACCGGCUAACUCCGUGCCAGCAGCCGCGGUAAUACGGAGGGUGCAAGCGUUAAUCGGAAUUACUGGGCGUAAAGCGCACGCAGGCGGUUUGUUAAGUCAGAUGUGAAAUCCCCGGGCUCAACCUGGGAACUGCAUCUGAUACUGGCAAGCUUGGGUCUCGUAGAGGGGGGUAGAAUUCCAGGUGUAGCGGUGAAAUGCGUAGAGAUCUGGAGGAAUACCGGUGGCGAAGGCGGCCCCCUGGACGAAGACUGACGCUCAGGUGCGAAAGCGUGGGGAGCAAACAGGAUUAGAUACCCUGGUAGUCCACGCCGUAAACGAUGUCGACUUGGAGGUUGUGCCCUUGAGGCGUGGCUUCCGGAGCUAACGCGUUAAGUCGACCGCCUGGGGAGUACGGCCGCAAGGUUAAAACUCAAAUGAAUUGACGGGGGCCCGCACAAGCGGUGGAGCAUGUGGUUUAAUUCGAUGCAACGCGAAGAACCUUACCUGGUCUUGACAUCCACGGAAGUUUUCAGAGAUGAGAAUGUGCCUUCGGGAACCGUGAGACAGGUGCUGCAUGGCUGUCGUCAGCUCGUGUUGUGAAAUGUUGGGUUAAGUCCCGCAACGAGCGCAACCCUUAUCCUUUGUUGCCAGCGGUCCGGCCGGGAACUCAAAGGAGACUGCCAGUGAUAAACUGGAGGAAGGUGGGGAUGACGUCAAGUCAUCAUGGCCCUUACGACCAGGGCUACACACGUGCUACAAUGGCGCAUACAAAGAGAAGCGACCUCGCGAGAGCAAGCGGACCUCAUAAAGUGCGUCGUAGUCCGGAUUGGAGUCUGCAACUCGACUCCAUGAAGUCGGAAUCCUAGUAAUCGUGGAUCAGAAUGCCACGGUGAAUACGUUCCCGGGCCUUGUACACACCGCCCGUCACACCAUGGGAGUGGGUUGCAAAAGAAGUAGGUAGCUUAACCUUCGGGAGGGCGCUUACCACUUUGUGAUUCAUGACUGGGGUGAAGUCGGAACAAGGUAACCGUAGGGGAACCUGCGGUUG